GUGCCUAUGGUGUAGCGGUAACACACGGGUUUGUGGUACCUGUAUCGAGGGUUCAACUCCCUCUAGGCACCCCA
RNAcentral lists this transfer RNA (74 nucleotides) under bacterium. RNAcentral's name for it is "tRNA-His". It matches the Rfam family "tRNA". From Rfam's summary of the family: Transfer RNA (tRNA) molecules are approximately 80 nucleotides in length. Their secondary structure includes four short double-helical elements and three loops (D, anti-codon, and T loops). Further hydrogen bonds mediate the characteristic L-shaped molecular structure. tRNAs have two regions of fundamental functional importance: the anti-codon, which is responsible for specific mRNA codon recognition, and the 3' end, to which the tRNAs corresponding amino acid is attached (by aminoacyl-tRNA synthetases). tRNAs cope with the degeneracy of the genetic code in two manners: having more than one tRNA (with a specific anti-codon) for a particular amino acid; and 'wobble' base-pairing, i.e. permitting non-standard base-pairing at the 3rd anti-codon position. The record is from RNAcentral.